This 428-nucleotide ribosomal RNA is filed under the name uncultured prokaryote. RNAcentral describes it as "bacterial SSU rRNA". It matches the Rfam family "Bacterial small subunit ribosomal RNA", at positions 355 to 774 of the family's 1533-position model. The record is from RNAcentral.
UGGGGAAUCUUCCGCAAUGGACGAAAGUCUGACGGAGCAACGCCGCGUGAGUGAAGAAGGUUUUCGGAUCGUAAAGCUCUGUUUUUCGGGAAGAAUGUGUCUUUUGUAAAUAAUGGGAGACAAUGACGGUACCGGAAGAGGAAGCCACGGCUAACUACGUGCCAGCAGCCGCGGUAAUACGUAGGUGGCAAGCGUUGUCCGGAAUUAUUGGGCGUAAAGGGCGCGUAGGCGGGAUAAUCAGUCUGUUGUGAAAGUGCGGGGCUCAACCCCGUGAUAGCAAUGGAAACUGUUAUUCUUGAGUGCAGGAGAGGAAAGUGGAAUUCCCAGUGUAGCGGUGAAAUGCGUAGAUAUUGGGAGGAACACCAGUGGCGAAGGCGACUUUCUGGACUGUGUCUGACGCUGAGGCGCGAAAGCCAGGGGAGUGAACG